GACUUGCCCAAGGACACUGCCGGGGCUUGAGUGUUGGAGGGCUUGAGCCUUAGAGUGUUGAAGAUGGGAGUUUGAGAACUAGCUCUGCCAUGAGCUGUGACACAAUGGCCAUUAUCUUGUUGCGCCUUGAGUACAUUAUCCUUAAAAUGGGAUAAUUGCUGCCCUGCCUAUAUUAUGUGAUUAUUGAAGGACUGAGUGAAGAAACAGCUGUUCUAGCAAAUAUUUACCGAGUGCUUACUUUCCGAAUGUUCUAAUCCUUCACGCAACCCAAUCGCUUCUCACAGCAGUCCUGCCGCUUAGAUCAGUCAUGAAUGGAGGGGAUGCCACCAUUACGAUGUGUUUCCUUAUUUGAAUGAAGAUGCAAGACUCUUGUAGAAAAAGAGGCCAAAUGACCGCACUUACCUGCUAAGGACAAAGUGGGAGCCUGUAUCGUGAAGGGCACCAG
This 445-nucleotide non-coding RNA is filed under the name Pongo abelii (Sumatran orangutan). Lineage: Eukaryota; Metazoa; Chordata; Mammalia; Primates; Hominidae. The record is from RNAcentral.